Molecule: ribosomal RNA, 496 nt
Filed under: uncultured bacterium
Lineage: Bacteria
Description: partial 16S ribosomal RNA
Rfam family: Bacterial small subunit ribosomal RNA
Source: RNAcentral
GAUGAACGCUGGCGGCGUGCCUAAUACAUGCAAGUCGAGCGAACAGACGAGGAGCUUGCUCCUCUGACGUUAGCGGCGGACGGGUGAGUAACACGUGGAUAACCUACCUAUAAGACUGGGAUAACUUCGGGAAACCGGAGCUAAUACCGGAUAAUAUAUUGAACCGCAUGGUUCAAUAGUGAAAGACGGUUUUGCUGUCACUUAUAGAUGGAUCCGCGCCGCAUUAGCUAGUUGGUAAGGUAACGGCUUACCAAGGCGACGAUGCGUAGCCGACCUGAGAGGGUGAUCGGCCACACUGGAACUGAGACACGGUCCAGACUCCUACGGGAGGCAGCAGGAGGGAAGCGUCCGCAAUGGGCGAAAGCCUGACGGAGCAACGCCGCGUGAGUGAUGAAGGUCUUCGGAUCGUAAAACUCUGUUAUUAGGGAAGAACAAAUGUGUAAGUAACUAUGCACGUCUUGACGGUACCUAAUCAGAAAGCCACGGCUAACUACGU